This 868-nucleotide ribosomal RNA is filed under the name Alcaligenes faecalis. RNAcentral's name for it is "bacterial SSU rRNA". It matches the Rfam family "Bacterial small subunit ribosomal RNA", at positions 56 to 911 of the family's 1533-position model. The record is from RNAcentral. Lineage: Bacteria; Pseudomonadati; Pseudomonadota; Betaproteobacteria; Burkholderiales; Alcaligenaceae.
UGCAAGUCGAGCGGCACGCGCGAGAGAGCUUGCUCUCUUGGCGGCGAGUGGCGGACGGGUGAGUAAUAUAUCGGAACGUGCCCAGUAGCGGGGGAUAACUACUCGAAAGAGUGGCUAAUACCGCAUACGCCCUACGGGGGAAAGGGGGGGAUCGCAAGACCUCUCACUAUUGGAGCGGCCGAUAUCGGAUUAGCUAGUUGGUGGGGUAAAGGCUCACCAAGGCAACGAUCCGUAGCUGGUUUGAGAGGACGACCAGCCACACUGGGACUGAGACACGGCCCAGACUCCUACGGGAGGCAGCAGUGGGGAAUUUUGGACAAUGGGGGAAACCCUGAUCCAGCCAUCCCGCGUGUAUGAUGAAGGCCUUCGGGUUGUAAAGUACUUUUGGCAGAGAAGAAAAGGUACCUCCUAAUACGAGGUACGGCUGACGGUAUCUGCAGAAUAAGCACCGGCUAACUACGUGCCAGCAGCCGCGGUAAUACGUAGGGUGCAAGCGUUAAUCGGAAUUACUGGGCGUAAAGCGUGUGUAGGCGGUUCGGAAAGAAAGAUGUGAAAUCCCAGGGCUCAACCUUGGAACUGCAUUUUUAACUGCCGAGCUAGAGUAUGUCAGAGGGGGGUAGAAUUCCACGUGUAGCAGUGAAAUGCGUAAAUAUGUGGAGGAAUACCGAUGGCGAAGGCAGCCCCCUGGCAUAAUACUGACGCUCAGACACGAAAGCUUGGGGAGCGAACAGAAUUAGAUACCCUGGUAGUCCACGCCCCUAACCGAUGUCAACUAGCUGUUGGGGCGGUUGGGCCUUACUCUCGCAACUAACGCCUGAAGUUGAACAACAUGCGUAUUACGGGUGCAGGAUUGAGGAUUAAAUGAUCU